RNAcentral lists this ribosomal RNA (626 nucleotides) under uncultured organism. RNAcentral describes it as "bacterial SSU rRNA". It matches the Rfam family "Bacterial small subunit ribosomal RNA", at positions 782 to 1406 of the family's 1533-position model. The record is from RNAcentral.
AUACCCUGGUAGUCCACUCUGUAAACUAUGAUCACUCGAUGUUGGCAAUACAUCGUCAUCGUCUGAGCGUAAGCAUUAAGUGAUACACCUGGGGAUUACGAUCUCAAGAUUGACAUUCAAAGGAAUUGACGGGGGCCCGCACAACCGGAGGAACAUGUGGCUUAAUUCCGAUGAUACGCGAGGAACAUUACCAUGGAGCUUUUAUGCAGUUCGUCGUUCCGGGAAACCGGAAUUCCAUCGGGCGACAUGCAAGUUCACUGCAUGCCUGCUCGUCAUGCUCGCCCCGUGAGGGUCUGGGUUAAGUCGCCAUCACGAGUGCAACCCUUAGUCGUUAGUUGCUAACAGGGUAAUGCCAGGGGACUAUACUGAAACUGCCGGCCUCAACCUUGAGGAAGGUGGGGAUGACGUUAAGUCUAGCACGGCCUUAGGUCCAGGACUACAUACGUGUUACAACGGUCGGACAAAGGCACGCUACCAGUCGAGUGGAGUCUGAUGCUCAUACCAGAUGUCAGUGCGGAUUGCAAGUGUGCAACUCGACGUUCAUGUGAUGGAGUCGCUAGUGAUCGCGCACUCAGCCAUGGCCCGUGUAUACGUCGUGAGCUUGUCACACCACCCGUCAAGCCAUG